Molecule: long non-coding RNA, 2081 nt
Organism: Triticum dicoccoides
Lineage: Eukaryota; Viridiplantae; Streptophyta; Magnoliopsida; Poales; Poaceae
Exons: 12
Source: RefSeq, a predicted model, not a curated record
CUCGUGCAGUGGCCUCAGCGGGUGGGCGACGACACCUGCAGCUGGUGCACAAUGGCGACGGCAUGCAGCUCCUGUGCCCCGCAACACUCUCCUUCCACGCAUAGCAGGAGCGGGAGCAAGGAUGCUGAGGCAGUAGUUCAGUAGAAGGAAAAUGAGGCAGAGAAGGUUUCACCAACCUCUUCUACACUGACAAAUCUUUUCUUUCCAGCAUUGCCAUGGAGCAGCGAAUGUGCUCAUGGAAGCUCAUUACCUUGAUUAGCAGCGACGGCGCCGCUCCUCCUCAAGGCCACGGGUGAAGCAGCAGCGGCACCGCUCCUCCUCAUGGCCAUGGCCACAUCCUCCUCCACACCUCCUUUGCACGCGCUUCCCGCUUCCGCUUGCUCGUUCUCCGGGUGUUGUAGUCAGAACAGGCAGGGAGGAGAGGGCACACAAAAGCUAGGCAGGCCACAGACAACAGUGUGCUGCAGACUUGAGUGAGGACAACAGUGAGUGACACUGGACGAAUCCGUCCUGGUCGAGCCCCCACCCAGACGGCUACCUGCAGAGGAGAUGUCAAGGACAGCUCCCAGUUCGUGGCGGAGACACCAGCACAGAUAGGGUUUGGGUGAGGGUUGAUUCCUACCCUGAUGGCAGCAACCCUCCUUCCGCAACCUUGCCCGCCGAGUGCACUGAGCUAUUUUGCUGUACAAAGAGCCUCUCCUUUUCAAUAGAUAAUACAAUCAAUCCAACUGUUAACUUUGGUGUGCUUUUUGGAUGGACUAAUAUGAAGACGCUGGCUAGCUCGCAUUGCCAUCAUAUAUUCUAGAAGCAAGAGCAAGGAUUAUAGCGAAAAUAAUGGUAUAUGUUGAUAACAAAGGGGUUGGAGUGGUGCCCUGUGGUGACAGCCGACAGUGGAGAAAGAUGAGAGGUGGCGCAAACAUGAUGGCCAAACCUGUGGUGCUUUGCAAGGUAUCUAAUAUGGCUAAAUGCGUAACGAAAACGUCUGUCUUCCUAGCCUCAUAGAUCCAACAGUAGCACGAAUAAGCAAAGGAUAUUUGUUUUCAAAGCCUCUGUUACGAGUGAAAUGCGGCAAUGGAAGCAAGGAAUCGUGGCUUACUUCUAUUCGGAUUCCAUAUCUACUAGGACAAUCCUGAUAUCCUUCUCAUCAUUUAUAUUUGAUUCUUUGGAGAUUCAUAAAGAAGGAAUGCAUCCACAAUCUUGGUAUAAAAUUUGUUUGGAUGGUUCAGAAUCUUUAGAUGGCAUGGAUGAGACAUAAUUUGUUGUAUUCAGAUAUUUUUCAUGGUUACAGCAGUCUUGCUCCUUCGGCCCUUCAACAACAGUUCACCGAUUAGUUUAUCAGUCGGCGGCAGCAGGCAACACGAGCGGAGAAGGUAGUGAGGGAAGGAGAAGAAGCAGCAAACAUCAGCAGACACCCCACACCCGUCGUGGCGUCCUGGAGGGCCCUCGCUACGGAUGGCAGCGGAAGUUGGCAAGGCCGGCGGCCAGCGGUUGGCAGCAGCGAGAAGCGCGAGUGAAAGACCUGGUUGAUUUGGGAAAGGGAGGAGAACAGAGGACUGGUCGAUUUAUUGAAAGAAGAACAGAUAAGGUUUGGUAGAUUUGGGGGAAAGGAGGAGAGACAAGCGUGCGUGGCAGCAGGUAGUCGGUGUAUUGGACUCAGAUAUAUUUGGGCUGGGCCAAAUGCUUAUUGUAAACUUAAUUAUCCUUUCCAAUUCUGAAAGGGUGGGUCGUGGCACCCUUUGGCCCAGAUAAGGCUGCACUGAAUGUUCUCUUAGGUGGCCUUCUGUAUGCCAGUUAGUCUAGCUGUACGUUUAUUUUUUUUUGUUUGUUUGUAUUUCUUAAAAGCUAAUGUCGUUGCAUGCUUUUUUAACCUUUUUUUUUUAUCGGAGAAAGAUGAUGCUCAGGAAAUUACUUAUUGGAUGGAAGUAUAGUCACCUUACAAAGUUUUUCCACCAAAUGUUUUUGUGUGUGCAACUAUGAUCGGUUUCUAUUCGUUUAUUGUACAGUUUUAUUCUGCAGAAACCGCAUAGAGGACAAGAAAAAUAGAAAAGUUAAUUUUGGGGACGGCGAAAGACUACAUAUCU